GUGGUGUCUCGUGCGCUUUGUUCGACCCAUGAAAAUCCGAGGGAGGCUAUUUGAAUUUCGUGCCAGAUCGUACCGAUAUCCGCAGCAGGUCUCCAAGGUGAACAGCCUCUAGUCGAUAGAAUAAUGUAGGUAAGGGAAGUCGGCAAAUUUGAUCCGUAACUUCGGGAAAAGGAUUGGCUCUAAGGACUGGGCCGGUCGGGCUGCAGUGUGAAGUGAGUACGGUUUGAUCCAUGCAGUGCAACGCUUGGUGAAAUAAACAGGUGAAGCUCGGCUAGUGUUCGAACUGUCUUAUGGACCGCUACAGCUGCGUAUCACAUUGUUCCCAUGCGGUGUUGAUACUUCGGCCGGCGCUAAACAGUCAGCUUAGAACUGGCACGGACUCGGGGAAUCCGACUGUCUAAUUAAAACAGAGGAGACAGAUGGCCCUUGCGGGCGUUGACUGUCUCUGAUUUCUGCCCAGUGCUCUGAAUGUAAAAGUGAAGAAAUUCAACCAAGCGCGGGUAAACGGCGGGAGUAACUAUGACUCUCUUAAGGUAGCCAAAUGCCUCGUCAUUUAAUUCGUG
This 563-nucleotide non-coding RNA is filed under the name Gongylonema pulchrum. Its description in RNAcentral is "Eukaryotic large subunit ribosomal RNA". It matches the Rfam family "Eukaryotic large subunit ribosomal RNA", at positions 1777 to 2308 of the family's 3401-position model. The record is from Rfam by way of RNAcentral. Lineage: Eukaryota; Metazoa; Nematoda; Chromadorea; Rhabditida; Gongylonematidae.